Small nucleolar RNA from Solanum stenotomum, 106 nucleotides. NCBI's taxonomy places the organism in Eukaryota, Viridiplantae, Streptophyta, Magnoliopsida, Solanales, Solanaceae. The record is from RefSeq and is a predicted model, not a curated record.
UAAUGAUGAUGUGGACAACUUAGAACCAGGACUUAAACCUAUCCCAAGCUUGGUACAAGUUUUCUCCUCCUUUCUGUCGAAAGCUUAAUAUGUCGCUUCUCAACUU